This is an RNA transcript of Caretta caretta (loggerhead turtle), 9425 nucleotides long. It is a transcript of the gene named family with sequence similarity 131 member B, with no coding region annotated. The record is from RefSeq and is a predicted model, not a curated record. NCBI's taxonomy places the organism in Eukaryota, Metazoa, Chordata, Testudines, Cheloniidae.
UCCUCUGAAGAUCCUUGUAGCAUCCAAGCCUGGAAGAGCGAGCGAGGGGGGAGAGAGGAGCGAGGGAAAGAGACAGGGACGCAGAGGGAGAGGAGGCAGCGCUGUGGCAGGCGAGGUGUGGCUGGUUAGAGCAUCUUGGUCGGAGAGCCUGGCCCGGAGCAUCUCCUGCCUCCCUCCCUGCCUCUUCUCCGGGCUGUCUGUCCGGGGCGGGUAAGGCGAGCUCACUGCGGACCAUGCCCCUCCGCCGGCACAGGCUGGGCCACACUGGACAUUCACCAUAACUGGAGCUCCCCCACCCCACCCUCUCCUCCGACACCUUCGCCCACUUCCCUCCUCCUCCCUGCUGCGGCUGCUGCCUCCUCCGCGGGGACCUGCUAGACUGAUGGGCUGCAUAGGAUCCAGGACUGUAGGGAAUGAGGUGAUUGCAGUGGACUGGAAGGGAUUGAAAGAUGUGGAUCAGAUCAAUAUGGACAGCACCAGCUCAUUGCAUGGCAGCAGCAUCCACCGACCCUCCACUGAGCAAACCCGGACAGAUUUCUCCUGGGAUGGUAUUAAUCUUUCCAUGGAAGACACAACCUCCAUUCUCCCCAAGCUGAAGCGGAACUCCAAUGCUUAUGGAAUCGGGGCUCUGGCUAAGUCGUCUUUCUCUGGCCCCUUAGGGAUAUCCCGCAGCAUGAAGGAUCACGUCACAAAGCCAACGGCUAUGGGACAGGGUCGUGUAGCUCACAUGAUUGAGUGGCAAGGCUGGGGCAAAGGUAACAGCCAGCAACAACAGCACACACAUGAGGCGGUGCGCAAGGAUGCUGAUGCCUACUCAGACCUGAGCGACGGUGAGAAGGAGGCCCGAUUCCUUGCAGGGGUGAUGGAGCAGUUCGCCAUCUCUGAGGCCACUCUCAUGGCCUGGUCCUCCAUGGAUGGUGAGGAUGUGAGUGUCAACUCCAACCAGGAGAACCCAGCAGGCAACUACAGUGAGAACUACCAGGAGCUGAUGGAGAACCAGGAUCACAUGGCCCAGACACAGUAUGACAGCUGGCCCCACUCCUAUGUUUCUCAGGGCAUGUAUUGCCUGGGCUCCUCUGAUGCUUGGGAGACCAGUGACCAAUCCCUCAUUGCUUCCCCGGCUACUGGCUCCUACCUAGGCCAGAACUUUGAGGAGACCCAGUCCAACCUGCAGGAGAGCACAUUGAUUCAGAGUAGCCUCAUCCAGCAGCAUCAGAUGCAGCAGCAGCAACCACAGGCCUUGCUCCAGAACCCAGGGCUCGUUGACAUGUGGCCCCCUCAGACUGCUGCAGGGGGUGGUGGUGGGGCUGAAUCCAGCACAUACAUGGGGGUGCACACAGAGGAGGAAGGGAACCCACUACUGGAGAAGGCCCCGCUGCUAAACAAGAAGACCUCUCCAGAGGAGGACGAUGCUGUAUGCCGGGACCUGGAGUCACUGUCACCUCGGGAGGAGCUGGAACAUGCCGCACUCAGCCGCAAGGUCUCAGAUGUCACCUCAUCUGGGGUGCAAUCCUUUGAUGAGGAGGAGGGGGAAGCAAACAAUUGAUGCUGCCAGUGAGGAAUCUUUCACCAUUACUAAAUGGGAGGGGAGGGGGGAAUGAAAUGACAGGAAAACCUCUCCCCAGGUUCCCAGGCGGACACAUCUUUCAUUCAGACAUUUAAUUUUUAACAAAAGGGAAGUAAAGGACUGGAGGUGUUUGACAGGGGCGGAGCCCUCCUUGCCCACCAUCAUGGACUGAUCCCCUGGCCCCACUGCUCUGGACAGCAUGCUGGGGGCUCAGGGAACUCUGGACUUUAAAUCUUUUUGAUACAAGGGUUUGGCUCUGGAUUCAGACUGCUCAGAUGCUGGGAUGUGGCUCCCAAGAUACAAACAGUGGCUUGAUACAAGGAUGUGGCUGUAUGGAUAGGAUCUAUCUUGGCAGAAUGGAUGUUGUUUUGGGGCUACAAUCUGCUUUGAUCCAUGGGAUAUGUGAAUACAGAGUCUGUUUUGAACAGGGCACAAGACUGUGCAGAUAUAGGUUGCACUGAUACAGGGAUUGUGGCUGAUAUACAGGGUAAGGCUGUAUGGAUAUAGCCACUGCACUAAUAGGAUGGAUGAGCUAUAUGGAUAAAUACUGUACAGUUCUUUGAUAUGAGAACCAAGGCUCUGUGGAUACAGACUGUACUGUGGUAUGGAAGGUGUGGCUCUGUGGAUUCGGGAUGUGCUCUGGGAGGCCAGGAACAGCAGGAACAAACAGUAUCACCAUUUUCCAGUUUAUAUUGGAUUUUUGUUGCUGUUUCUUUUUCUACAGGUUUAUAUUGCCGAGUACUGGUUCUAAACACAGUGGUUAACAAAGGGAAUGGCCUAUGGGCUGACCACCACUGACCAUAACUGCCAUACCAUUCUCAGUAUCCCCGAUCCUUCUGUGGUGCCAAAUGUGGAUGGAGGAAAGGGGGUGGGAGGGAAACUUUUCUCCUCCCUCCUAUUCAUUUCUCUUUCCUGCUUUACAUUUUCUGUUUUUUCUUGACAAUGUAAAUAUUCCUUGGCACUGUUUUCUUUUUUCUCAUUCCUCCCAUCUCUAUUUCAGGGGUGGGGAAGGCUGGGUUUUGGGGGAUUUUCCCCAUUUGUACGGGUUCUAUAUUUUUGUUAACAAAGUUUAUGAUUCAUGGACUGAUGGGGUUUUGAUUCCAUGUGAUUCCCCUUCUUGUUGCUGCAGACAUACUACAGGAGAAGGGACUUUAAAUAGGUAUUAACCAAUUGUUUCCCCUCUGCUCUUGCUAGGGAAUAAACAGGAGACAAAAAUUGUGUGGGGGCAAUCAUUGUUCAGAUGUUCAGAUAGCAGAACAUGACCACCAGGGGAUGGUAGAAGUGUUGGGUGUUCACUGAAAUGUGGGCAGUGUGUGAGCAAAUUGCAUCCCUCCAACAAAGAAGUCCCACCAAAGGGUGAGUUAAGGGUGGGGGACUGGAUAAAUGAACCAAGCUGGAGAUUGCCCUCUUUCUGCACUACCCCGGAGGCAUCUCUUCCCCACUUGCUCCAAGCCAGAGCCACUAUUUUCAACUGCAAUUCAGAUGUUUGUCUCCUCUCUGUCUUCUCCUCCCUGAUGGUAGAAUUGAUAUUGCUGCUUGCAGGAUGGGAGAGUGAGGCAUGUUCCUCUCCUGAUCCAGGUUUGGAACCCAACCCAUGUAGCAGGGAAGGAGUAUGUAUCAGGAGAGGAGAAUGUGGCAGGAAUAUUAUCCAGGAGGCUAGGAGCUGAGACAGCCACAGGAAAACAGAAGUGGAUCAUGUCCAGGAGUCAAGAGGAGGGUGAAUUAUGGAGCCUUGGAGAUGGUAUUUCCGCUCACACACCUUUCCUACCAGCAAUUGGGAUUAUAGGGAACUCCACAGAGAACUUCUGAGUCUCUCUGGCAAAGCUCCAUUUCAAGAGGAUCUGUCUUCCCGCUCCACUGCACCUCUAAUGGAAACGCCACUGGGAGGAGUGUUUGGGAGGAUUAUGUGAGGCUGACGCUUGGGGGUGGAUAUGAGACAAAAGCAUUUGUUACCACCUCUUUGUCCCCAUUUCUUUGGAGCUUCCCUGUCUUUCCCAGGGGAGGUUGCUCCUUUCGUGGGUGAUGAGGUUUCAAUAUCUACUUAAAUAUGUUUACACGUUCUGGUACCAACCUCCCAAGGUUGAGAAGGUUGGCUAAAGCACCUCCCAAAAUCCCGGGAGGACUCAUUAUCCUGAGUUUAUCUGAACUGCUUUGGUUUGGCUGCUACAUGGAUUGGGGAAAUCUCACUAGCAAGAACAGAGAAACUGGGAAAGUGCAUGGGCAGGAAAACUGAAGGUGUGUUUCUUUGGGGUGUUUCUUUCGGGGGGAAGGUUUGAUAAGCCUGCUUCUUAUUUUUUCCCAACCAUUCUGCCUCCAAGGUCCUAGCCAGGACCAACCGAUGUUUACAGUAAUUAUAUUUCAGUGUAUCUUCAAAUGUAUCCUGCUUCCACCUUGUCAUUCACAGGACCAGGACAAGGGGGUCAUCUUGGUUAGGUCUAUUUUUUUUAAUGCAGACAAGUUGUGCAUUUGGUAAGAUGUGUGACAAAUGUAUGAGGUGCAUUUUCUCCAUAGGAGAGAAGUGACAGAGGGACACACAUUACAUGGAAAACAAAGACUAAAAAAGAAAAAGAAAAGAAAUGUACCUUAUGAAAAUCCCACAGAAUGUAAUAGCAAAUGAAAACCUUCCCACAGAGUUUUCUGACCUCUGGAGAAUUAUACUUCUGCUACAGAAUUCUAUAGCACAGUUUCCAAAAGCUUAUAGAUGGGAUCUCAUUGUCUAUUAAAUCCUACAGGUGUUUAAAGUAAUUUCUACAGAAACGUAUUAUUUUCACGUUAUUAAAUUCUAUAAGAUUUUUCAUAAAGAUCUUGCUUUUUUGCAAAUAAAGAUCUUACCUUUUUAAAAAACAACAACACUUUCCGCUGGUGUCCCCACCAUCCAAGAACACAUAUGCGUUUCUCGUUGCCAGGAAUCUGACUGGACACAGCAUUCCCAUGGCCUCCAACUAUUGCCUAAGUGAGGCCCAAAUGGACAAUAUUAAUAACAAACUGAUAGGUCACUUUGAGUCUCCUGCAAAAUGUUAUUCUACCUUAAAAAGUGACUGUAUAAAAAUGGGCUUUCCUUAUGCAACAGGCCUGCACCCUGCCUGUAUCCAGAAUCAGAUCUUCUCACGUUGCUAAGGUUUUCAGAAGUGACACAUGGUUCUGGAUUCAUCAGUUUUUGGGGGCCCAAUUUCAGAUGCCUUAAGGCUCCCUGAUUUUCGGCACUUUCUGAAAAUCAGGUCUACUGAAAGUAUCCAAAAACAGAGGAAUGCAAAGUUACUAGUCCCUUUUGAAAAUCUUGGCCCUAGAUUUUGACUUGCUUUUUAUUCAAAUUAUCUCUGCAGAGCCAGCCUAGCUCAGAAAGAGGGUAAUGGAACCUAUUCCUUCUUGUGUAGCAUCUGCAGAAUUGUUUACUAUGUUCUAAUUAGUCACACCUGUGCAAACCUCCUGAAGGCCAUGGGGUUGCCACAGGUGUCAUUGGGGGCACAAUUUGAAUUGCAGAUCCUUUAUUCUAGGGGAUGAUCUGGAAAGAGUCCAACUUGACUCUCAGAGCCCAGGCUGAGUUUGCAGGGCUGACAGAAACAAAUAUCUUUUUAUUUGUCAAGUAAGUUUGAUCUGGAGUCGUCACUUGUGAACAGAGCUGCACUCAUGAAAUAUUUCUAAAAUUCCUUGAAGCUGUGUAGCUAGAGGGCUCCCUGCCUUUGUUUGCUUUCCGCCGUAAAGCCAUUAAGUCUUUAGCAGGAGCCAUGACUUCUGUUCUUUGCUGAACAGAGAAGUGUUUCUUUAAAUAUGGGUGACUCUAGUAGUUGAAUCAGCUCUCAGACAGACAGACCUCUUUCUCACUCCUGUGCCCUCUACUGUCACCAUCUGUCCAGUUCACAUUACUGUUGUUAAACCUACAAGUUGUUCGCAGGUUUGGAGUCUUUACCUCCAGGGCACCAGUUCCAGUGCCUGGCUCAGGGGAAUCAUGAAGUGAGAUAUAGGGUCUUUCAUCUCUAAAGCACAAUUUUCAAUUUGGCUCCAGGCUGGGGGAACUGGCUGGGUGAAUGAGACAAGGGGAAGGGGCCAUUCAUCUGUAGGGCAUCAGUUCUGAUACAUCCUUCGGUCUGGGGAAAUGGCUCAGGGAGUUAAGGAAAGGCCACAGAUCUUACCACUCCUAGGUGACUGGUUCCAAUCUGUUCCUACUUUGUAGUGACUGACAGUCAUUCCCAUCUGGCAGCUCUUCAGUUUCCAUGUGAACUGACAGAUCUCAGGCAGUGGCUAGUCACCCUUGCCAAUUCCACCCCUUUUCUUUGACUACGCUGGGACUUCAGAGCGGACAGGGAAAGGUAAGCACCACUGAUAAGUCCUGUCCUGUGAUUGUAGGGCAGGAGCAAGUCUGUGAGAAGGACUGGGGACUGUGGUGGGCUCCUGGGGUGAGACAGCUUCUGCAGCCAGGGAACAUGCCUGUUUUCAUGCCAGUUCCAAGGUGACUUGAGAGUUGGAAUGGCCCUGAGAUUUAUAGACUGGCCACAUGUGUGGCUAAAGCCUGGACCAUCCUUACUGUGUCCAGCAAAUGGAAAUUGUCUGUGGAGCCGGCAGGACAGCCAGGGGAAAGGAAACUAUUUUCUAAAUCUGAAAAGGUGUGUGUGUUGGGGGGAGGGGUUAAUCACAGAAUAAGAAAGAGAUUCUUCCAAUCUGGUGUAGCUCAAGUGCUGUUACAGAGCUUGGUACUGAAUAAAUAGGCUUGGCAGAAUUAGAUUUUUAAUAUAUAAUUUUGAUGGAUAAUAUCAAUAUUAUUUUUAAGCAUUUUUUCUAGUUUUAUCUAUUUCAGUUUUCACAGUUGCAUGAAAUUAUGGGUGGGUCAGACAAUGAUUAUUUAAUGACAGAUGUUGAGAUUCAAAAAGUUAUAUAGCUUCAUAAGUGUUAAAACACAAAUUGUCAACAUGUCAUGUUAAAAUAUACAAAGUAAAUAUCUUUAGAUCAAACUCAAAGUUCUCAAGCAGCAUUUUUCUUACCUUGCCUAGCUGUAAAUUUCAUUUAUUGUCAAUGGAAAUAUUUUUUCAUUAGUUUUUGUGUGUGUGUACAGUGAAAUCAGCGUUUACUGACCGUUACCAAUAAAAAUCUAAUCCUUCCAAGCCUAUGCAUAGGCCAUCUAGCUUGCCCCUCUGGAAGACAAGGAGGAAGAGAGCGAUUUCUCCACACUCAAGAAGUUACCUACUUCUUUCCUUGUCUCCCCUGAACAGCCAGAAUACUAUAUUCCUCCUCCUGUGGGCACCAGCCAGCAACUGUUCCAAGUAAGAGCCCAAUUCUGCUCCAACUGAAGUCAGCUGGGACUUUGCCUUUCAUGGGAACAGGCUGAGGCCCUGAAUCACCAGAGUCAGUCCCAUUUGGCUUAAAUGUCAGAUUAAUUGUCCUGACAGAGGAAAAGAUAAGUAAAAAGUAAACACCCUUCAGUACUCUGGAGAGUAGCGCAGGCUGGCAUUAAGCUUAGCUGCAUAAUCUGGAAAGGUAUCACCUCAGCCUUCCCAUGUAAGGAGAAGGUUCUUGCUCUCUCACAGCCUAGAACUGUUUCUUCCUGCCAGCUCAGACUAUCUCACACUAGCUGGUAUGAGGGAAAAUUUCUCCAUCUCACCCCACUUUGGAUUUUCCUCAUUUUCAGACAUUUCUAAACAAUGGGAAAUGUCAUUUUAAACUGCUGUUACCAAAAGAGCCUUCCAAAUACAGCAAUCACCAGUGAUCUGCAAUCAGCAUAUUUAAUGCUGUCUUGAGAGAAGUGGAGAGGAAUUAACAUUCUCUGUUUAGCUGGAGCACAGAAGAGGGAGUCUGACAGGGAUGUGCUGUGCCUUAACUCAGGGAAGGGAAGGAUAAACAGAGCGAUAUGCAGAAUAUGGAUUUGGUGUGCACCCAUUAGAUAGCACAGCAGAGGCAGUGUCUGUUAUGAAUGGAGCCAGAUGGGGCCCUCUUUCAUAUCACAGUCGCUCCCCAGGUGAGAUGGAUAGGGCUGGAUCUGUAGGAGAGUGACAGACAUCUGUGCCAGAUCAGUAUCUUUCUGCCUCUCUCCCCAGCACAGUGUUUCUCGCUAUGCAGAAUGUCUGGCCCCUUGCUGGAGAUCACAGGCCCCUGCCAGCACAGACAGCUCUCUAGGUUUGUUGGGAAGUGAUACAGACCACAUGGUCACUGUGUUACCAGCACAGAUAUGGCAGGAUCUGCAUUGGAGCAUAGAGACCAUCUGGGUUUUUGUUAUAUAUCUGGCUCUUCCUAGCACAGACAGUACAUGUACAGGUGUGUGUGAUGUGUACCAGUUAGACCUUUUUUGGACAUUUUGUCCUUCCCUUGUAUGGAUAUGAAUAGGUCUGUACAAGAGUAAUAUGGACCAGCUGGGGUUGUGUAUUGUAUUUCCCCAGCACAGACAGAUCUGGAUUCGAAUGGAAGCAAUGUAACCAGGCCAGGCCCCGGUUUUGGACAAUAUUUCCACCCAGACAAUAGGAUUUCUCCUGGAAAUGUAGGGACUGACAGGUUAUCUGUUCAGUCAUGAAUGUUGCUCCUCAGGGCAGUCAACAAGGAACCUGCCUGUUCUAGAAUGAUGGUAAGGGCUCCUGGUUAGGCUAAGUGGUACUCUUAAGAAGGGAGAGUUGCUAUCUUAUCACUGGGUGGGUGGGAAUUCAGCCUCCAUUUCCACCUUGCACUGAGUCAAUGCUCAGUGUCUUCAGAAAUCUAGUUUUGGUUCUGCUCCUCCCAAGGGUACAACUAGUGUCCAUCCUGUCAGGCAAAGUUCUUCUCCACCCAGGAGAAAAGUCAUGCAUUGACAGUUAAUUCCAGGAUAACACAGGCAUCCAGUCCAGGUUCACCUGAACCCCAAAGCCCUUUGCAGGAGGGAUAGAAAACCAGUAGAAGCAUUUUCCCUUGUUGCCCUGCUCCCUUUCUAGAGGUCAUAAAUCCCAUUCAGGUUCUUGACCUAGAUGCUGUGCCCAGUCCAUUCCAGGCAAGCACAGGCAUCCACUCCACCUCCAUCCAGUUCCCGUGUGGUGCGCAGAUGAGCAGUGUGAAAAGCAGAAACAGCUUUGCAGGUGUAUUUUGUUUGUUGAUUUCUGUUUAUCUUCUCUGGUUUUGUGGGUGUCUUCCAUGAUUGGGGUAGUCCCCAAUGGGUCCCCGGGAUCCUCCAAACUACAGAAUGAGCAUCAAAAAUCAUUUUACAAUGAGCAGGACUUUUUUAAAAAGCUCUUUUUGGGGUUGGGUGGGUAAGGGCUGGGGAGUGGGAGGUACAGUGAUCUCUGGGUGGUAUGGGUGGGUGUCUAUUGGUGGGUGGGAGAAUGGGGAGUGGAGUCUUGAAGCAUGUUUAAAAGCAACCAAAGGUUUGGGGCUUAAGAUUUUGUAUUCUCAACAUAUGAAACUGCUAUAGCAUAAGGGGACAGGACAAGGAGGGGUUGUAGCUGGGCAAUGUAAAGACCCUCUUCCCCAGCUGUGUGUGAUUUUGUGCGGGACUGAAUAGAGAUUCUUUUCAUCCCUCAAGGAUGCAUUUUGUGGAGGACAAUGGCUCUUCAUGGGGAAAGAAAGAGCAGGAAGAGAAGGGGGUCUGUCAUUGAAACCCUCCUACCCCUGCCACCCCCAAAUAAACAAAAACAAAACUGAUUUGCCUUCGGUCUUCCCGGUCCAAAACUUCUUUGCCUGAAAUUUUUUCGCUGGUUAUUCUUUGCAUGUUUUGAUAAUGUGACUUAUGAGAAAAAAAUAUAUAUAGAGAUAUAGAUAUAAACUAUACAUACAGACAUAGGAAACUAUAUGGCACUACACACGUCCAUACCUAUGUGUGGCAGCAGCCACUGAAAAAGGAGACGAUGUAGGCCAAAAUGGCAUGUACAGUCCUUAUAGAGUUAUUAUUAAACAGAAUGUGGUCUUGCCA